GCGACGGGGGAAAAUUGUGCAACGCUGGACCUGGGAGGAUUUGGGGAGCGUGUUGUGGAGCAUGUGGUGGGGGGGAUUUAUUUGGAAGGCCGUGUUUUGACUCCAGGAACCUAGGCUGUACUAGAGGCUCACAGAGGACAGGAGCAGAAGGCUGAGUAUAUAAGAGCAAGCUGACCGACAGCACUUCUCUGCUCCGUGCUGUUAAAGAGAUUGCUGUUGGACCCUGAGACUUGGACCAUUUCAUUGUGGUCAUUUAUUUGUCACCAUUGCUGUUUUUCGUGUCCAAGUAGUAUAGCUGUUGGAUCCUUUAUCUCUGUAUUUAUGCAGCAUGAUUUAAUGUUUUCCAGCUUUUUUUACCUUUUCGUUGUUUGCUUCUUUCUUGGCACUUUAAACGGUGAUGUUAGUGCCUGAUUUUUGGAUGGGACUAAUCUCAAUGCCUGGACUGCCAGUGAGGUGUAAGGAUGAAGUUUGGGGAUUCAUAGCUGCCGCUUCUGCAUGUGGGUGUGUGAUUACGUGAGUCUAGAGUGUGAUCUUCCGUCCGUCUGUUUGUCUGCUGUGGCCGACGCGGUUCCCUUCUCGUUCCGUUUGCAGGGCUACAAAAUGACGGGAUUUCAGAGAUUGUCCGUGCUCUUGUGUCAGGGAACAGGCUGUUAUCAACAGAUCUGUCUGCUCUCUGUUUCUGUGGGGAACCUGUGGUUUAACAGACACAGACCCGUUCACUUCAGGGCAGAAGUCAGGGGUCUUGGCGUGCUGGAAAAGUGGCAGUCUUCGGAGAUGUGUUUGCUCCAAGUCUUGUCUGAGUGCGGUGAGAUGUUACUUUCUGCCUCCGGUUCCUUUUCGACUGAACACGAUAUGAUGAUAAAGAAUCUGGUCGAAGUAGAAGCUCUGGAGAGUGACGAGAAGCCAAUGCGGCCACUCUGAGGAGUGACCUGGGAAGAAGCGUCAUCCAAACGCAGGUGGGGAGCAGGGGUACGAGGAGAGAUAUCCGCAUGCUUUGACAGAGGUGGUACAGGUGGGAUUCAUAUAUCACAGGACUUUUUCUUCCCGAUAUUUAUCUGUUUCAGUGCAAUCUUUGAUCUGAUGCUGCUUUGAUCUGAUGUUUACAAGUGACCAGUCUGUCUGAAGGGGACGACUUCCAGUGUUUUAGCCAGUAAUGUCUCCUGCUCUCUCUCUGGGGAACAGCCAGUGGUGUCGGUGUGACGUCUCAAACCGGAUCAUGACUCCCGAAGCUCUAAAGUUCAGCUUUGAGUCCAGGGCAAACUGUCCCAGACACAAACACUCAGCCUGGAGAGAGGGCGUGAGGCUGGGGCAACCUGUGUGGCUUCAACUAUGUUCAGUCCAUCCCCCCCCCCUCCACCCCCCCGGCCAUAAACUGCCUUCUGCCCAGAACAGUAAGAGUUUAUGUGCUGGUUAUACACUGUGCCAGCACACGGGCUCUUACAGUGCAGGGCAGUGGGUCUGUCUUUCUCUCAGGAGCUGAAGAAGAUUAUUAUAGCUGACGUAUGGUCUCUGUAUGGUCUCUCUGCCUCUAUCUGGCCUUCACUGCGGUUUCUCUCCCUCUGUCUGGGGCCCUGUGUGGUCUCUCUGCCUCCGCCUGGCCCCGUGUAGGGUCUCUCUGCUUUUAUCGGAGUCUCAGUGCAGUCUCUCUGCCUCUGUCUGCCCCCUGUGUGGUUUCUAUACUUCAGUGUGGUCUCUCUGCCUGUGUCUUGGCCCCUGUAUGGUCUCUCUGCCUCUGUCUGGGCCCAUGUGGUCUUUCUACCUCGGUCUGGGCAGUCUAUCCAUCUUUAUCUACACCUCUGUGGUCUCUUCAUCUAUAUCUGUGCCUAUGUAUGUUCCCUCAUUUCAGCGGUCAUGAGUUCAGGACCCAGCUAGGUAAAAGAUUUCUUAAUUAAAAACAUUCUUCUUCCA
Brienomyrus brachyistius is the source of this 1908-nucleotide long non-coding RNA. RefSeq lists it as uncharacterized. The transcript is spliced from 2 exons. The record is from RefSeq and is a predicted model, not a curated record. Lineage: Eukaryota; Metazoa; Chordata; Actinopteri; Osteoglossiformes; Mormyridae.